CUACCCACAGUGUUGCUGCUGCUCGCUUACACACUCAUACUUUUCGUUUAAGAUCAACGUUGCAUUUCGAUUCUGCGUUCAAUUGCAUUCUAAGCUUCGGCGAGCAAACAACUUGAGCGGUACAACGGCGAAUAACGCGUCGCGGCAUUUAGUAAAACGACAUAAUUACAACAACAACGACAAUAUUGAUAUUUAACACACUUUUUAGUUCAAAUAAAAAAUAAAUCUAAAGUGUUCAAUUAUGGUUUUGCUGCGAGUUAUCAAGUAUCUUGUGGGCUGUGUGGUGCGGCUGUGCGAGGGUCUGAACCAGAGCGUUCUGUCUUGGAAAAUGCUCAAAUAUCGCAUGUUGCAACAGAGUUGACUAGAAGGCGUGCGCGGGUGGAGUCAGCGUAGUCUAAUUUGUGUUACCUUUAUUGGCGAUGAUGAGCUGUUGAAUAUCUUCGAAAAUUUAUAGACGCUGAAGUUACUUCAAGUUCGUUACUUAAGUCUUUUGUAUGAUAAAGUCCAUUAUGCAAAGUGUGUUGGGAAUAAAAUAUUCAUAAAUUAAAUAA
Molecule: long non-coding RNA, 551 nt
Organism: Bactrocera latifrons
Lineage: Eukaryota; Metazoa; Arthropoda; Insecta; Diptera; Tephritidae
Exons: 2
Source: RefSeq, a predicted model, not a curated record